CUGGGAGGACCAUCUCCCAAGGCUAAAUACUCCCUAGUGACCGAUAGUGAACCAGUACCGUGAGGGAAAGGUGAAAAGCACCCCGGAAGGGGAGUGAAACAGAUCCUGAAACCGUGUGCCUACAAGUAGUUAGAGCCCGUUAAUGGGUGAUAGCGUGCCUUUUGUAGAAUGAACCGGCGAGUUACGAUUACAUGCAAGGUUAAGUUGAAGAGACGGAGCCGCAGCGAAAGCGAGUCUGAAUAGGGCGAUUGAGUAUGUGGUCGUAGACCCGAAACCAGGUGAUCUACCCAUGUCCAGGGUGAAGUCCAGGUAACACUGGAUGGAGGCCCGAACCCACGUACGUUGAAAAGUGCGGGGAUGAGGUGUGGGUAGCGGAGAAAUUCCAAUCGAACUUGGAGAUAGCUGGUUCUCUCCGAAAUAGCUUUAGGGCUAGCCUCACGUAGUAAGAGUCUUGGAGGUAGAGCACUGUUUGGACUAGGGGCCCUCAUCGGGUUACCGAAUUCAGACAAACUCCGAAUGCCAAAGACUUAUCCGUGGGAGUCAGACUGCGAGUGAUAAGAUCCGUAGUCAAAAGGGAAACAGCCCAGACCACCAGCUAAGGUCCCAAAGUUUACGUUAAGUGGAAAAGGAUGUGGAGUUGCUUAGACAACCAGGAUGUUGGCUUAGAAGCAGCCACCAUUUAAAGAGUGCGUAAUAGCUCACUGGUCGAGUGACUCUGCGCCGAAAAUGUACCGGGGCUAAACGUAACACCGAAGCUGUGGAUUGACAUCUACGAUGUCAGUGGUAGGAGAGCGUUCUAAGGGCGUUGAAGCUAGACCGUAAGGACUGGUGGAGCGCUUAGAAGUGAGAAUGCCGGUAUGAGUAGCGAAAGAUGGGUGAGAAUCCCAUCCACCGUAUGCCUAAGGUUUCCUGAGGAAGGCUCGUCCUCUCAGGGUUAGUCGGGACCUAAGCCGAGGCCGAAAGGCGUAGGCGAUGGACAACAGGUUGAUAUUCCUGUACCACCUCUUUAUCGUUUGAGUGAUGGGGGGACGCAGGAGGAUAGGGUAAGCGCACUGUUGGAUAUGUGCGUGUAAGCAGGUAGGCUGAGAAGUAGGAAAAUCCGCUUCUCGUGAAGGCUGAGCUGUGAUGCCGAGGGAAAUAUAGUACCGAAGUUCCUGAUUCCACACUGCCAAGAAAAGCCUCUAGCGAGAUAAAAGGUGCCCGUACCGCAAACCGACACAGGUAGGCGAGGAGAGAAUCCUAAGGUGAGCGAGAGAACUCUCGUUAAGGAACUCGGCAAAAUGACCCCGUAACUUCGGGAGAAGGGGUGCUUUUUGAGGUGAAUAGCCUCGAAGAGCCGCAGUGAAUAGGCCCAGGCGACUGUUUAGCAAAAACACAGGUCUCUGCGAAGCCGCAAGGCGAAGUAUAGGGGCUGACGCCUGCCCGGUGCUGGAAGGUUAAGAGGAGGGGUUAGCGCAAGCGAAGCUCUGAAUCGAAGCCCCAGUAAACGGCGGCCGUAACUAUAACGGUCCUAAGGUAGCGAAAUUCCUUGUCGGGUAAGUUCCGACCCGCACGAAAGGCGUAACGAUCUGGGCACUGUCUCAACGAGAGACUCGGUGAAAUUAUAGUACCUGUGAAGAUGCAGGUUACCCGCGACAGGACGGAAAGACCCCGUGGAGCUUUACUGUAGCCUGAUAUUGAAUUUUGGUACAGCUUGUACAGGAUAGGUAGGAGCCUAAGAAACCGGAGCGCUAGCUUCGGUGGAGGCGUCGGUGGGAUACUACCCUGGCUGUAUUGAAAUUCUAACCCGCACCCCUUAUCGGGGUGGGAGACAGUGUCAGGUGGGCAGUUUGACUGGGGCGGUCGCCUCCUAAAGAGUAACGGAGGCGCCCAAAGGUUCCCUCAGAAUGGUUGGAAAUCAUUCGUAGAGUGUAAAGGCACAAGGGAGCUUGACUGCGAGACCUACAAGUCGAGCAGGGACGAAAGUCGGGCUUAGUGAUCCGGUGGUUCCGCAUGGAAGGGCCAUCGCUCAACGGAUAAAAGCUACCCCGGGGAUAACAGGCUUAUCUCCCCCAAGAGUCCACAUCGACGGGGAGGUUUGGCACCUCGAUGUCGGCUCAUCGCAUCCUGGGGCUGUAGUCGGUCCCAAGGGUUGGGCUGUUCGCCCAUUAAAGCGGUACGCGAGCUGGGUUCAGAACGUCGUGAGACAGUUCGGUCCCUAUCCGUCGUGGGCGCAGGAAAUUUGAGAGGAGCUGUCCUUAGUACGAGAGGACCGGGAUGGACGCACCGCUGGUGUACCAGUUGUCUUGCCAAAGGCAUCGCUGGGUAGCUAUGUGCGGACGGGAUAAGUGCUGAAAGCAUCUAAGCAUGAAGCCCCCCUCAAGAUGAGAUUUCCCAUAGCGUCAAGCUAGUAAGAACCCUGAAAGAUGAUCAGGUUGAUAGGUCAGAGGUGGAAGCGCGGUAACGUGUGGAGCUGACUGAUACUAAUCGUUCGAGGACUUAACC
RNAcentral lists this ribosomal RNA (2484 nucleotides) under Bacillus sp. OK048. Its description in RNAcentral is "bacterial LSU rRNA". It matches the Rfam family "Bacterial large subunit ribosomal RNA", at positions 444 to 2925 of the family's 2925-position model. The record is from RNAcentral. Lineage: Bacteria; Bacillati; Bacillota; Bacilli; Caryophanales; Bacillaceae.